Molecule: ribosomal RNA, 460 nt
Filed under: uncultured bacterium
Lineage: Bacteria
Description: partial 16S ribosomal RNA
Rfam family: Bacterial small subunit ribosomal RNA
Source: RNAcentral
CCUACGGGAGGCAGCAGUGAGGAAUAUUGGUCAAUGGGCGCAAGCCUGAACCAGCCAAGUAGCGUGCAGGAUGACGGCCCUACGGGUUGUAAACUUCUUUUAUACAGGGAUAAAGUGAGGCACGUGUGCCUGUUUGUAUGUACUUUAUGAAUAAGGAUCGGCUAACUCCGUGCCAGCAGCCGCGGUAAUACGGAGGAUCCGAGCGUUAUCCGGAUUUAUUGGGUUUAAAGGGAGCGUAGGUGGGGUGUUAAGUCAGUUGUGAAAGUUUGCGGCUCAACCGUAAAAUUGCAAUUGAUACUGGCAGUCUUGAGUACAGUUGAGGUAGGCGGAAUACGUGGUGUAGCGGUGAAAUGCUUAGAGAUCACGAAGAACUCCGAUUGCGAAGGCAGCUUACUAAGCUGCCACUGACAUUGAGGCUCGAAAGUGUGGGUAUCAAACAGGAUUAGAUACCCCGGUAGUC